RNAcentral lists this small nucleolar RNA (264 nucleotides) under Podiceps cristatus (great crested grebe). RNAcentral's name for it is "Small Cajal body specific RNA 6". It matches the Rfam family "Small Cajal body specific RNA 6". Rfam says of the family: U88 is small Cajal body specific RNA (scaRNA). scaRNAs are a novel class of small nuclear RNAs which localise to the Cajal bodies. U88 is found associated with both fibrillarin and Gar1p and co-localises with coilin in Cajal bodies. U88 scaRNA is composed of both an H/ACA box and a C/D box conserved domains domains and is predicted to guide 2'-O-methylation of residue U41 of the U5 snRNA. Lineage: Eukaryota; Metazoa; Chordata; Aves; Podicipediformes; Podicipedidae. The record is from Rfam by way of RNAcentral.
GGUCUGUGAUGAAUAGUAAAAGGUCUGAUUAUCCUAAGACUUGUACUUCCAUGACCUUUUCUCCCAGCAGUUUCUCACCAGUCACAGCACAGUAAUGGUGUGACUGGCAAGAGUGUUUGCUGACAGCUUGUGAUGCAUUCCGCUCAUGUUAACCUGAAGUACUGGAGACAUGACUGGGGUCAGCAUCCAACAGUCCCACUUGAAGGAGUUUGGGAUCUUGGAUUGUUAUAACUGGGCAUGUGAUCUGACUUUUCUGCUGAGACC